RNAcentral lists this transfer RNA (73 nucleotides) under Danio rerio (zebrafish). RNAcentral describes it as "tRNA-Arg (TCT) (tRNA-Arg-TCT-15-1)". It matches the Rfam family "tRNA". Rfam says of the family: Transfer RNA (tRNA) molecules are approximately 80 nucleotides in length. Their secondary structure includes four short double-helical elements and three loops (D, anti-codon, and T loops). Further hydrogen bonds mediate the characteristic L-shaped molecular structure. tRNAs have two regions of fundamental functional importance: the anti-codon, which is responsible for specific mRNA codon recognition, and the 3' end, to which the tRNAs corresponding amino acid is attached (by aminoacyl-tRNA synthetases). tRNAs cope with the degeneracy of the genetic code in two manners: having more than one tRNA (with a specific anti-codon) for a particular amino acid; and 'wobble' base-pairing, i.e. permitting non-standard base-pairing at the 3rd anti-codon position. The record is from RNAcentral. Lineage: Eukaryota; Metazoa; Chordata; Actinopteri; Cypriniformes; Danionidae.
GGCUCUGUGGCGCAAUGGAUAGCGCAUUGGACUUCUAAUUUAAAGGUUGUGGGUUCGAGUCCCACCAGAGUUG